UGCACUCAAGUUUGCUCAGGUGUGUGUGUG
RNAcentral lists this non-coding RNA (30 nucleotides) under Rattus norvegicus (Norway rat). Lineage: Eukaryota; Metazoa; Chordata; Mammalia; Rodentia; Muridae. The record is from RNAcentral.